Molecule: ribosomal RNA, 497 nt
Filed under: uncultured bacterium
Lineage: Bacteria
Description: partial 16S ribosomal RNA
Rfam family: Bacterial small subunit ribosomal RNA
Source: RNAcentral
GAUGAACGCUGGCGGCGUGCCUAAUACAUGCAAGUCGAGCGAACAGACGAGGAGCCUGCUCCUCUGACGUUAGCGGCGGACGGGUGAGUAACACGUGGAUAACCUACCUAUAAGACUGGGAUAACUUCGGGAAACCGGAGCUAAUACCGGAUAAUAUAUUGAACCGCAUGGUUCAAUAGUGAAAGACGGUUUUGCUGUCACUUAUAGAUGGGUCCGCGCCGCAUUAGCUAGUUGGUAAGGUAACGGCUUACCAAGGCAACGAUGCGUAGCCGACCUGAGAGGGUGAUCGGCCACACUGGAACUGAGACACGGUCCAGACUCCUACGGGAGGCAGCAGUAGGGAAUCUUCCGCAAUGGGCGAAAGCCUGACGGAGCAACGCCGCGUGAGUGAUGAAGGUCUUCGGAUCGUAAAACUCUGUUAUUAGGGAAGAACAAAUGUGUAAGUAACUAUGCACGUCUUGACGGUACCUAAUCAGAAAGCCACGGCUAACUACGUG